UAACAGCACCAGGCAGGCAGACGUAGAAACACUCAGACUGGCAGUAGAGUGCCAUCUUUGCUUUGUUCUUCAGACUUGUAAGCAUCCCCAAGCGGGCAAAUCAGGAAGAAAUAAUGACAGAAACUGGUAGAUGGGGACCGCGUUCUUCCCCUCUCUCGGGAGAUGAUGGAGGAGGAAAGAUGCUGCAUUGUGUGCCCCUCUGGUGCAGCUCACACCGGUGGCAGAGGUUGUGCAGCUGUGGAAUUUGGAGCCCGUGCAACGCUAUGAACUUUCAUUCUCCAAAGGCAGCAAUCAACGAAGAAAAAUCGAGUGGCAGCAAGCAGCUCUUAGCUAACUGCUUUCUCUGUUCAGCACAGGGGCUGGAUUCAGCAGAGGUGAGGCUUGGAAAUGAAAGCUAAGAGAGGGG
This 406-nucleotide long non-coding RNA is filed under the name Meleagris gallopavo (turkey). Its description in RNAcentral is "lncRNA (ENSMGAG00000022013.1)". Lineage: Eukaryota; Metazoa; Chordata; Aves; Galliformes; Phasianidae. The record is from RNAcentral.